UUUGUGUUAUAUAUUAAAUUAAUUUAAAUCUUAUUUAAUUUCCUAUCUUUUGAUCUUAAAUUAGCCCAUAUUCAUUUAAACUAAAUAUUUUUCUUAUUUCCUGAUCCAAAUCCGACUUUCUUUAUUUAAUAAUUUCUAACAAGCGCUCUAAAAUUUGCUGAGUCUGUAAUUCUAAGGCUACAAGCGAAGGGAUAAAAAUCCGUAAUGCCCCCGCAUCCCUUUCAAAGAUACCUAAGAUUCCCGUUUUUCAAUCGGCAAGUGUCAAAGAAAUCCCCAUAAGAAUCUCUUGGUAAAAGUAUUAAGAGAAAAAUUUCACUGACGUUUUCUUUUGUGUCCCGAAAUAAACAAAUGCGUUUCAUUGCUCCUCACUGUGCAUAAACUAUGCUCUGUCGCGGAAAAAUAAAUUAAAUUCACAAUUCAUAUUCUGGAAUAUUUAGAUAUAAACAUCAUUAAGUUUAUUGCUAAAUCAUCGUUAAACCAACAUUUAACUCCUAAUUAAAAAUAUAGUAAACUGAAGUUCAAGAGAAUAAGAAUCAAUCAGUACAUUAAAAAAAACUGUAAAUAAAAAUUUUCAUUUAUUAUUUAAUUCUUUUAAUUAAUGUUAAGUUUCCCCCAUAUCCUCCCCUCCCCCCCCCCAGAAAAAAUUUAAAAAUUCAAUCUUUCUGUCCCAGUAAACACAAUUCCAAAUUUAAAUGAACUCAAAAAAUGAAAAUUGGUAUGUAGUUAUUCCAAAAUGUGGAUUAAUAUCAAAUUUUUAUUAUUUUUUUUUAAAGAUGCACAUUUGUUUAACUGUUCAAGUUCAUAUGAGCAACAUAAGCUAAGUAACAUAACAACAGCUAAGUGUAUAAAAUGUUUUAUUUCUAAAUGGAAAUUUCUUAUUCAUUUCAAUUAAUACUUGUCAGGAACUCUGCCAUCCUGAUUGUUGAGUACUAGACGAUGAUUCAUCAUAUAGAUACCGCUAUGAUUUUUCACGUUCUGUAUUAUUUGAAGUUUAUAUUUGUUCCAUUUUUUUAUUAUUCCAUUUAAUUUUUUUUAUUCCACUUAAUUUUUUAAUAUUAUUUCAUUUAUUUUUUUUUAUUAUUCCAUUUAAUUUUUUAAUAUUAUUUCAUUUAUUUUUUUUAUUAUUCCAUUUAAUUUUUUUUAUUCCAUUUAAUUUUUUUUUAUUAUUCCAUUUAUUUUUUUAUUAUUCUAUUUAAUUUUUUACUAUUCCAUUACAUUUUUUUCACUAUUCUAUUAUUUUUUAAUUAUUCUAUUCUAUUUCUAUUUUUGCCAUUUUCAUGUGUAUCCUCUUAUUUAUUUAUUCAUUUUUCUUAUUUUGUAUAUUUAUUUUUUAUUAUCUAAGGUUUGUUUUUAUUGCUUGUUAUUCCGAAGGAUCUAAAUAUUAGAAAGCCAUCUGCCGGUCCUCGGUUGUGCCAUCUGAUGGUCUACUAUUUUGGGGAAGGGGGUGGGAGUGGGGCUUCCUACUGGAUGGGUUGUUUCGCGGCAAUUCAUCUUUCCCCAUUUGGUAUUGGCUUAGGCGGUGCUGGAUCUGGUACAGUAUGUCACUUUCGCAACUAAAUGCAUUAAAACUACUGUGAGAAGAUAAAAUGCAAAGAAGUGAGUUGUUCCUCCAAUCAAAAGUACACAGAACAUGCAACAUUUUGUGGAUGUUGCCCUGCAUGCCUUAAUAUUAUACAAAAAGGUGAAAGUUGUUUCUCUUUGCUUUUCUUGGGUGUUCCACCAACAUCUACAUUUGACGAAGGAUUGUAUUGUGAUUAUAAAACAGAAACAUGUCAAGAAUUAGAAUAAUUGGCUAUGAGAAAAGAAGAAGGAUUGCAAUUUGCAAUUCACAAUUUUUUUGAUUAAAUUAUGUAUAUGAUUAACUAAUAAAGAUGAUUUAAUAUAAAAAUA
Molecule: long non-coding RNA, 1890 nt
Organism: Argiope bruennichi
Lineage: Eukaryota; Metazoa; Arthropoda; Arachnida; Araneae; Araneidae
Exons: 2
Source: RefSeq, a predicted model, not a curated record